This 730-nucleotide ribosomal RNA is filed under the name Pseudomonas protegens. Its description in RNAcentral is "bacterial SSU rRNA". It matches the Rfam family "Bacterial small subunit ribosomal RNA", at positions 55 to 774 of the family's 1533-position model. Lineage: Bacteria; Pseudomonadati; Pseudomonadota; Gammaproteobacteria; Pseudomonadales; Pseudomonadaceae. The record is from RNAcentral.
CUGCAAGUCGAGCGGCAGCACGGGUACUUGUACCUGGGGGCGGGGGGCGGACGGGUGAGUAAUGCCUAGGAAUCUGCCUAGUAGAGGGGGAUAACGUCCGGAAACGGGCGCUAAUACCGCAUACGUCCUACGGGAGAAAGUGGGGGAUCUUCGGACCUCACGCUAUUAGAUGAGCCUAGGUCGGAUUAGCUAGUUGGUGAGGUAAUGGCUCACCAAGGCGACGAUCCGUAACUGGUCUGAGAGGAUGAUCAGUCACACUGGAACUGAGACACGGUCCAGACUCCUACGGGAGGCAGCAGUGGGGAAUAUUGGACAAUGGGCGAAAGCCUGAUCCAGCCAUGCCGCGUGUGUGAAGAAGGUCUUCGGAUUGUAAAGCACUUUAAGUUGGGAGGAAGGGCAGUUACCUAAUACGUGAUUGUUUUGACGUUACCGACAGAAUAAGCACCGGCUAACUCUGUGCCAGCAGCCGCGGUAAUACAGAGGGUGCAAGCGUUAAUCGGAAUUACUGGGCGUAAAGCGCGCGUAGGUGGUUUGUUAAGUUGGAUGUGAAAGCCCCCGGGGCUCAACCUGGGAACUGCAUCCAAAACUUGGCAAGCUAGAGUAUGGUAGAGGGGUGGUGGAAUUUCCUGUGUAGCGGUGAAAUGCGUAGAUAUAGGAAGGACCACCAGUGGCGAAGGCGACCACCUGGACUGAUACUGACACUGAGGUGCGAAAGCGUGGGGAGCAAACA